ACCAGGUAUAUGAGCGUUGCAUUUUGGGAAAUGAAGAUGCUAUGAACGCUAAUGGAGAAAACGCUAACGCUCGCGCGACCUCUUUCAAACCAAAGAAAAACUGACGAGUUCCAGACUGCUCUAAUCAGCGAAUUACAUCUGAGUUCUGUGUGAUACAAGUGUCUGACAGAAUUGAUGUCAAGGAGGAUUCGGCCUGAUUCAAUGAGGGAUUGAGGACCAAUUUUUUUCAACUUCAGCCAACUGUUGGAGCAUCACCCAAAGCAGAUAAGGUCGUGGAGGAAAAGACGUUAGUUUGACCAAUAAGCUACAUUGUAGCUUAUGACACAAUUGAAGUGGGCGUCAACUGUUCCUCCGGCUUUUGGCACAUUUAAAUGGAGGCCAGUAUCCGGACGAGUCCAGGUUACCUGCUGAUAUCGACAAAGAGAAGCACAGGAUAAAUUGCCACUCAGUGACGGUAUGAAUGUGGGUGCCAAUGGUCGUCUGUCUCUUUGUGUACCCUGUGAUUAAUCAUUUCAGCGUGCUGCCCGUCUUCCAUUGCAAGUAUUGGUGGCUCGGUGGUAGAGUUUUCGCACGCUGCGCGGGAACCCCGAGACUGAUGCCCGGGCACGCCGAUGCAUCUUGGGGUAGCCUUUGCAGCUAGCCUCGCAUCGGGGCAACAGUUCCGCUACGACAACGCGAGCAGACCAGGAUAUACGGUGUUGGAAAUGUCCCACACUACAACAAAUCAUUAUUUUAUCCACACUGGUUUGAGUGCAAUAUUGUUGUGGUUGGUUCGUUGUUUAAAAUGUGUAAAAGAAAUAAUGUUUGUUUUGCAUGUGGGAUGAGAAUUCAGUAAAACGGCAUGUGAGGGACUAACUUGUCCCCCCCCUCCACAGUACUUAAGUUACUGAAUAUGUAUAUAAAAAUGGAUCUUAAGCUACUAUACCGAGUGUGGUUUGAUUGUCAAUAUCAGUUUGCAUAUGACUGAUGAAAAAGGUAAAAUUUCAGAUUUGAAGAAGUCCAUUGGAACUGUUUUGAAAUAAUAAAAAAAACCAUCCCACCUUGUUUCCAAUUGCCAAAUAUAUAUGCCUUGUAGACUGAAGUGCAAAUUGUGUUUAUUCACAGAUGCAAGACAGU
This is a long non-coding RNA of Corythoichthys intestinalis (scribbled pipefish), 1116 nucleotides long. RefSeq lists it as uncharacterized. The record is from RefSeq and is a predicted model, not a curated record. Lineage: Eukaryota; Metazoa; Chordata; Actinopteri; Syngnathiformes; Syngnathidae. The transcript is spliced from 4 exons.